This 633-nucleotide small RNA is filed under the name Oryza sativa Japonica Group (Japanese rice). Its description in RNAcentral is "sRNA Os01g0356951". The record is from RNAcentral. Lineage: Eukaryota; Viridiplantae; Streptophyta; Magnoliopsida; Poales; Poaceae.
AGAUCGAAAAAAUCGCUAUCUCGCCGAGUCGCCAGUCACCGCCUCGACGCCGGUCGCCGUACCGCCGGCGCUGCACGCCCCCCUCCAAGCCGUCGCCCCAUCGCCCCCAGCCGCCCAGUGGUGGGGCGGCGGAUGCCGAGCUUGGCGAGGUUGCCGAGGACGAACCAGGCGAGGAGGACGAGGAUCUUGUCGACGAGCCAGAGCGGGAGCCACGCCAUGAGCAACACGGCGAGCUCGAACGUGGACUUGCCGAGCACCUCGCCAGGGAGGACGUGGACGGCGUCGCGCACCACCAUCGCCGGGAGGGCGCUGUGGUCGCACAGGUCGAGCGACACCACCAUGCCGGAGUUGCCGCACCCGACGACGAGCACCUUCUUGCCGCGGUACGCCUCGCCGGACUUGUAGACCGCGACAUGCAUCACCUCGCUGCUAUAUUUGUUCUUGGACUGUGGAGACUUGCUGUCAGUGGGUGUGUUCAGAAUUGCUGCUGCAGCUUGCAGCGAAUUUGUGAUGCAGCAGCUGCAGCUUGUAUGGCUGCCGAGUAGAGCGAGUGUUGCUAUCUGUUUUUGUUCUCUUUUUCAGAAAUUUCGCCCGCAAAUUUUAAAUUUGAAUUCAAAUUUUUAAAAGAACUAG